Molecule: transfer RNA, 73 nt
Filed under: Camelus bactrianus (Bactrian camel)
Lineage: Eukaryota; Metazoa; Chordata; Mammalia; Artiodactyla; Camelidae
Also listed under: 3 other names
Rfam family: tRNA
About the family: Transfer RNA (tRNA) molecules are approximately 80 nucleotides in length. Their secondary structure includes four short double-helical elements and three loops (D, anti-codon, and T loops).
Source: Rfam by way of RNAcentral
GAGGAUAUAGCUUGAGUGGUAGAGCACAUGCUUAGCAUGCAUGAGGUCCUGGAUUCAUACCCCAGUACCUCCU